This 443-nucleotide ribosomal RNA is filed under the name uncultured bacterium. RNAcentral's name for it is "partial 16S ribosomal RNA". It matches the Rfam family "Bacterial small subunit ribosomal RNA", at positions 338 to 795 of the family's 1533-position model. The record is from RNAcentral.
CCUACGGGUGGCAGCAGUGGGGAAUAUUGGGCAAUGGGCGCAAGCCUGACCCAGCAACGCCGCGUGAAGGAAGAAGGCUUUCGGGUUGUAAACUUCUUUUCUCAGGGACGAUGCAAGUGACGGUACCUGAGGAAUAAGCCACGGCUAACUACGUGACAGCAGCCGCGGUAAUACGUAGGUGGCAAGCGUUAUCCGGUUUUACUGGGUGUAAAGGGCGUGUAGGCGGGGACGCAAGUCAGAUGGUAAAACCAUGGGUGCAACCUGUGGCAUGCAUUUGAAACUGUGUUUCUUGAGUAAGGGAGAGGCAGACGGAAUUCCUAGGGUAGCGGUGAAAUGCGUAGAUAUUAGGAGGAACAACAGUGGCGAAGGCGGUCUGCUGGACAGCAACUGACGCUGAGGCGCGAAAGCGUGGGGAGCAAACAGGAUUAGAUACCCGAGUAGUC